GCUCUCAAAACUCAACCCUAAAAUUCAAGAAAAUCAUCAAAUUGAAGGGGCAAAUCAAGCCCGAAUCGAAAUCCAAGCAUAGAUUAGUGAUCACCUCAGUAAAGGGAUCAUGAGUUUGACUCAGGACAAGCUAGAUGGAGGCUUGGGAGGAAGCGGGUCAAACGAAACAAGAAAGAAGAAAAGGCGUAACUUGGAUACAAGGUGAAUGUCAAGAGUGCCCGGAUGAAGAUCAAGCUCGAUGAAGAACCGAACACAUGAUAACGAAGCUUCCGCAUUAAACUUUGUUUUGAUUUCAUAAUAUGAAUUAUGGAAACACUUAAGAUUGGUAUUAUGAAUGUUUCAAACUUGUGUGAACAUUCUUGAUGGAAAAGUUUUUAUUA
Long non-coding RNA from Helianthus annuus (common sunflower), 380 nucleotides. RefSeq lists it as uncharacterized. The record is from RefSeq and is a predicted model, not a curated record. The transcript has 3 exons. NCBI's taxonomy places the organism in Eukaryota, Viridiplantae, Streptophyta, Magnoliopsida, Asterales, Asteraceae.